This 625-nucleotide ribosomal RNA is filed under the name Malassezia globosa. RNAcentral's name for it is "eukaryotic LSU rRNA". It matches the Rfam family "Eukaryotic large subunit ribosomal RNA", at positions 47 to 657 of the family's 3401-position model. Lineage: Eukaryota; Fungi; Basidiomycota; Malasseziomycetes; Malasseziales; Malasseziaceae. The record is from RNAcentral.
UAAGCGGAGGAAAAGAAACUAACAAGGAUUCCCCUAGUAACGGCGAGCGAAGCGGGAAGAGCUCAAAUUUGAAAGCUGGCACCUCCGGUGUCCGCGUUGUAAUCUCGAGACGUGUUUUCCGUGCGGCUCUAUGGACAAGUCCCUUGGAAUAGGGCAUCGUAGAGGGUGAGAAUCCCGUACUUGCCAUGGAAGAACCGUGCUUUGCGAUACACGCUCUAAGAGUCGAGUUGUUUGGGAUUGCAGCUCAAAAUGGGUGGUAGACUCCAUCUAAAGCUAAAUAUCGGGGAGAGACCGAUAGCGAACAAGUACCGUGAGGGAAAGAUGAAAAGCACUUUGGAAAGAGAGUUAAAAGUACGUGAAAUUGUCGAAAGGGAAGCACUUGAAGUCAGCCAUGCUGCUUGAGACUCAGCCUGGCCUUUGGGCUUGGUGUAUUUCUCGGUGGCAAGCCAGCAUUGGUUUGGGUCGUCGGAGAAGCGCAUAGGGAAUGUAGCGUUUCCGGACGUGUUAUAGCCUUAUGCAGGAUACGACGACCUGGAUCAAGGAACGCAGUGUGCCCUCUGGGCGGGUCUUCGGACACCUUCACACUUAGGAUGCUGGCGUAAUGGCUUUAAGUGGCCCGUCUUGA